UACGAAGGGGGCUAGCGUUGCUCGGAAUCACUGGGCGUAAAGGGUGCGUAGGCGGGUCUUUUAAGUCAGGGGUGAAAUCCUGGAGCUCAACUCCAGAACUGCCUUUGAUACUGAGGAUCUUGAGUUCGGGAGAGGUGAGUGGAACUGCGAGUGUAGAGGUGAAAUUCGUAGAUAUUCGCAAGAACACCAGUGGCGAAGGCGGCUCACUGGCCCGAUACUGACGCUGAGGCACAA
RNAcentral lists this ribosomal RNA (234 nucleotides) under uncultured bacterium. RNAcentral's name for it is "partial 16S ribosomal RNA". It matches the Rfam family "Bacterial small subunit ribosomal RNA", at positions 524 to 756 of the family's 1533-position model. The record is from RNAcentral.